Long non-coding RNA from Calidris pugnax (ruff), 290 nucleotides. RefSeq lists it as uncharacterized. Lineage: Eukaryota; Metazoa; Chordata; Aves; Charadriiformes; Scolopacidae. The transcript is spliced from 3 exons. The record is from RefSeq and is a predicted model, not a curated record.
GCGGGGGAGGAGAGCGGUUGGGGGCGUCCAGGGUGCGCUCGGCGAGUGGCGUACGUGCUACGUGUAAAGCUGUCCUGUUACAAUAGAGGAGAUAGUCGUGGGUAAGAAGGAACUGGAGUGAAGACAAGACACUUGAGGAUGGAAAUCUCCAAGGAAAGGAAAUGCCCCCGGACCAGCCCCACCUGACCGUCUCCAAGACCUCAGCGUUGUCCAUCACGCUGGCCUGGCUUCCUGGGGACAAUGGGGGCAGCUCCAUCCGGGGUACGGCUGCUGGGGGCGACGGGGUCGGC